This 497-nucleotide ribosomal RNA is filed under the name uncultured bacterium. RNAcentral describes it as "partial 16S ribosomal RNA". It matches the Rfam family "Bacterial small subunit ribosomal RNA", at positions 28 to 507 of the family's 1533-position model. The record is from RNAcentral.
GACGAACGCUGGCGGCGUGCCUAAUACAUGCAAGUUGAGCGCUGAAGGUUGGUACUUGUCCCAACUGGAUGAGCAGCGAACGGGUGAGUAACGCGUGGGGAAUCUGCCUUUGAGCGGGGGACAACAUUUGGAAACGAAUGCUAAUACCGCAUAAAAACUUUAAACACAAGUUUUAAGUUUGAAAGAUGCAAUUGCAUCACUCAAAGAUGAUCCCGCGUUGUAUUAGCUAGUUGGUGAGGUAAAGGCUCACCAAGGCGAUGAUACAUAGCCGACCUGAGAGGGUGGUCGGCCAAAUUGGGAAGGAGAAACGGCCCAAAAUCCUACGGGAGGCAGCAGGAGGGAAUCUUCGGCAAUGGACGAAAGUCUGACCGAGCAACGCCGCGGGAGUGAAGAAGGUUUUCGGAUCGUAAAACUCUGUUGGUAGAGAAGAACGUUGGUGAGAGUGGAAAGCUCAUCAAGUGACGGUAACUACCCAGAAAGGGACGGCUAACUACGUG